This is a long non-coding RNA of Dromaius novaehollandiae (emu), 616 nucleotides long. RefSeq lists it as uncharacterized. Lineage: Eukaryota; Metazoa; Chordata; Aves; Casuariiformes; Dromaiidae. The record is from RefSeq and is a predicted model, not a curated record. The transcript has 2 exons.
AAAAGAGUUCAUCUCAGAAAUCUGUUAUGUAACACAUCUUUAAAGAAGCUAUUUCUCUCUAUGUCUGGCAGCACCCGUUGCCAAUCGAGACAAGAAAGGAGCACUUCUGGGAAGGGGAUGCACUGGUUCUGCUCAGCAGAGCAUCCGGAGAGGAGCACAGAGUCUCUCAGGAAAAGCCUGAAGGCUUUCCGCGAGGACAUGGGACACAUCAAAUGAUGCACAACAUACAGACAGAGCCAUGAAUCCACCUGAUCUUCACUUUCUGACUUCUUCUGAUCUAAUGAAAAUGCUAAACAAGGCAGGAUUUGCUAGGACCUUUCUGAGAGCAUCACAGACCCGAGGCGGACACCUUGGCUGGGCUGGGCCGGAGCCAACGAGCAGGGGGUGAAAACUCCCCAUUUCACGACAAACCUCUGCAGCCAUCCCAUCCAUCCUGUCAGCACAACGUUGGAUUCUGCUUCGGGGAGCCCCUUCUUCAUCCUUCUUCAAAGAAAGGUGCGUUUCCUCCUUACCAGGGUUCUGUGAGAAAGAAGAGCUACACUGUAAAAAACCACUGCUAUCACUGCUAGAUAAAAACAACCGUGUUGUUUUAAAGGAAAUAAAGCACAGAACACAA